AUGGCGGAGACCGACGCUAGCGCCAGGACAAGCGAGCCCCCGCAAGCGACAGCGCCGGUCACGGCUACGGAAACGGCGGCCGGGACCGUGCCGACGCCGAUGGCGGAGGAGGGGGCGGUGCCUCCACCCGGUCUCGAUUAUAAGAGGAAGCUUGGCGAGACAGGAGGGGAGGAGGCGAUGCUGCCGAUGGACGCGGAGCAGGGUGGUGGCGGCGCCGAGGAUCGGGCGGGGGUGGGAGGAGAAGGGGAGGAGGAGAUGGCGGAGACAGGGUCCAAGCGGCCGCACGGGGACGGCGAGGGCAACGGGUCAGGUAUUACUCAAACUGAAGUGCAUGGACCUGAAACAUCAGAAGUGGUGAAUGGGGAGGUUCCUGUCGAUGAAAGCAUGCUGUGCAGCUCUGAAGUAGAUGGUCCAAAAGAAUGUUCAGAACUUCCUCAAGAAGAUGAUGAGCCCUCACCAGAACAGCAGAGUGCCGAGGCGCUUACCCAAGAAGUGACGCGAAAAAUUGAAAUUCCUCAAAGCAAGGUUGAUGUAGGUGAUUCAUCUACACUCGCUGCUAGAAGUUUUGGGACUCCACAAUCUGGUGCUGAGCAAGUGGACAUCCAUGUCCCAAAUGACAAGGCUGAGUUCGUCAUUGGGGAGGGAGGUGAGACCAUUAAGGCUCUAAAAACUAAGUCCGGGGCUGACAUUCAGUUAAUCCCGGAACAUCUCCCUGAAGGCGAUCUUUUCACAGAAAGAAAAAUACGACUUACUGGGAAUUGGAAUCAAAUAGAGAUUGCAAGAACAAUGGUCCUAGAACUCAUCAGUCAGUAA
Molecule: ribosomal RNA, 813 nt
Filed under: Triticum aestivum (bread wheat)
Lineage: Eukaryota; Viridiplantae; Streptophyta; Magnoliopsida; Poales; Poaceae
Description: partial small subunit ribosomal RNA
Source: RNAcentral